GAGCAGGUGUGUACAUGUGCAUGGGGGCAUGUGUGUGCGUGUGUGCGUGCAUGUGUGUGUGCAUGUGCAUGCGUGUGUG
This 79-nucleotide microRNA precursor is filed under the name Notamacropus eugenii (tammar wallaby). RNAcentral's name for it is "miRNA (ENSMEUG00000017453.1)". Lineage: Eukaryota; Metazoa; Chordata; Mammalia; Diprotodontia; Macropodidae. The record is from RNAcentral.